RNAcentral lists this ribosomal RNA (253 nucleotides) under uncultured bacterium. RNAcentral's name for it is "partial 16S ribosomal RNA". It matches the Rfam family "Bacterial small subunit ribosomal RNA", at positions 524 to 776 of the family's 1533-position model. The record is from RNAcentral.
GACGAACCGUGCGAACGUUGUUCGGAAUCACUGGGCUUAAAGGGCGCGUAGGCGGGCCGCCAAGUCCGGGGUGAAAUCCUCCAGCUUAACUGGAGAACUGCCUCGGAUACUGGAGGUCUCGAGGGAUAUAGGGGCACGCGGAACUGGUGGUGGAGCGGUGAAAUGCGUUGAUAUCACUAGGAACUCCGGUGGCGAAGGCGGCGUGCUGGAUAUCUUCUGACGCUGAGGCGCGAAAGCCAGGGGAGCAAACGGG